CACAUCUGUCUAAUAUGUGUCUGUGUUGUGGUUUUAGGGUGAACCAGGUAGAGAUGGAACUGGACUUCCAGGCCCACCAGGCCCACCUGGACCUCCAGGACAAGUUAUUUACCAGACAGGAAACUUUGAUGGAGUUCUUGGAAGUGCUGGGCCUCAGGGGGACGCUGGUUUGCCUGGUCAAGCUGGAUUCCCUGGCCCAAUGGGACCAAAAGGGGACAGAGGGGACCCAGGCCUCCCAGGGUUUGGAAUAAAGGUAACAAACACUGACCCUCUUUACAUCAGAACGAUAGUUUCCUCUUUGUUUUUUGUGCAUUUGUUUUUUUUUUUUUUUUUUUUUUAAC
This 341-nucleotide long non-coding RNA is filed under the name Sphaeramia orbicularis (orbiculate cardinalfish). RNAcentral's name for it is "lncRNA (ENSSORG00005017037.1)". Lineage: Eukaryota; Metazoa; Chordata; Actinopteri; Kurtiformes; Apogonidae. The record is from RNAcentral.